GACGAACGCUGGCGGCGUGCCUAAUACAUGCAAGUAGAACGCACAGUUUAUACCGUAGCUUGCUACACCAUAGACUGUGAGUUGCGAACGGGUGAGUAACGCGUAGGUAACCUGCCUGGUAGCGGGGGAUAACUAUUGGAAACGAUAGCUAAUACCGCAUAAUAUUAAUUAUUGCAUGAUAAUUAAUUGAAAGGUGCAAUUGCACCACUACCAGAUGGACCUGCGUUGUAUUAGCUAGUAGGGGAGGUAACGGCUCACCUAGGCGACGAUACAUAGCCGACCUGGGAAGGUGAUCGGCCACACUGGGACUGGGACACGGCCCAGACUCCUACGGGAGGCAGCAGUAGGGAAUCUUCGGCAAUGGACGAAAGGCUGACCGAGCAACGCCGCGUGAGUGAAGAAGGGUUUCGGAUCGUAAAGCUCUGUUGUAAGAGAAGAACGGGUGUGAGAGUGGAAAGUUCACACUGUGACGGUAUCUUACCAGAAAGGGACGGCUAACUACGUG
RNAcentral lists this ribosomal RNA (505 nucleotides) under uncultured bacterium. Its description in RNAcentral is "partial 16S ribosomal RNA". It matches the Rfam family "Bacterial small subunit ribosomal RNA", at positions 28 to 507 of the family's 1533-position model. The record is from RNAcentral.